AGUAAAUAGAUACCCGGUAGUCCACGCCAUAAACGAUGAGAACUAGACGUUGAGAGGGUAAGCCUCCCACGUGUCGUAGCUAAACGCGCUAAGUUCUCCGCCUGGGGAGGUACGGCCGCAAGGUUGAAACUACAAAGGAAUUGACGGGGACCCGGCACAAGGGGUGGAGCAUGUGGUUUAAUUCGAUGCAACGCGAAGAACCUUACCUGGUCUUGACAUCCUAGGAACCCUGAAGAGAUUCGGGGUGCCGCAAGGAACCUAGAGACAGGUGCUGCAUGGCUGUCGUCAGCUCGUGUCGUGAGAUGUUGGGUUAAGUCCCGCAACGAGCGCAACCCUUGUCCUUAGUUGCCAGCAUUCAGUUGGGCACUCUAAGGAGACCGCCGGUGACAAACCGGAGGAAGGUGGGAUGACGUCAAGUCAUCAUGGCCUUUAUGACCAGGGCUACACACGUGCUACAAUGGUAGAUACAGAGGGAAG
RNAcentral lists this ribosomal RNA (477 nucleotides) under uncultured bacterium. Its description in RNAcentral is "bacterial SSU rRNA". It matches the Rfam family "Bacterial small subunit ribosomal RNA", at positions 774 to 1249 of the family's 1533-position model. The record is from RNAcentral.